GAUGAACGCUAGCGGGAGGCCUAAUACAUGCAAGUCGAGCGGUAGAGUGACUUCGGUUGCGUGAGAGCGGCGAACGGGUGAGUAACGCGUACACAAUCUACCUUUAAGAGGGGAAUAGCCCUGGGAAACUGGGAUUAAUGCCCCAUGGCAUCACGAAGUGGCAUCGCUUUGUGAUUAAAGCUGAGGUGCUUAGAGAUGAGUGUGCGUCUGAUUAGCUAGUUGGUGCGGUAACGGCGCACCAAGGCGACGAUCAGUAGGGGGCGUGAGAGUGUGGACCCCCACACGGGUACUGAGACACGGACCCGACUCCUACGGGAGGCAGCAGUAAGGAAUAUUGGUCAAUGGAGGAAACUCUGAACCAGCCAUCCCGCGUGCAGGAAGAAUGCCCUAUGGGUUGUAAACUGCUUUUAUCUGGGAAGAAAAGUCGGCAUUUAUGCUGAUCUGACGGUACCAGAGGGAAUAAGCACCGGCUAACUCCGUGCCAG
Molecule: ribosomal RNA, 485 nt
Filed under: uncultured bacterium
Lineage: Bacteria
Description: bacterial SSU rRNA
Rfam family: Bacterial small subunit ribosomal RNA
Source: RNAcentral